GACGUAGGUGGCGAACGUUAUCCGGAAUUAUUGGGCGUAAAGGGUGCGUAGAUGGCUUGACAAGUUAUCAGUGGUAAAAUCGAGGCUCAACCUCGUGGAAACUUGUAAUACUGUCCGGCUUGAGUGCAGGAGAGGUUAAUGGAACUCUAUGUGGAGCGGUAAAAUGCACAGAUAUAUAGAAGAACACCAAUAACGGCGAAGGCAAUUAACUAUUCUGUUACUGACAUUGAGGCACGAAAGCGUGGGGAGCAAAACGG
This 257-nucleotide ribosomal RNA is filed under the name uncultured bacterium. RNAcentral describes it as "partial 16S ribosomal RNA". It matches the Rfam family "Bacterial small subunit ribosomal RNA", at positions 524 to 776 of the family's 1533-position model. The record is from RNAcentral.